UUCUUUGAUACGAAGGCACUGUCUGAGA
Molecule: non-coding RNA, 28 nt
Filed under: Mus musculus (house mouse)
Lineage: Eukaryota; Metazoa; Chordata; Mammalia; Rodentia; Muridae
Source: RNAcentral